GCCCCCGUAGCUCAGUAGGAUAGAGCACCGGCCUCCGGAGCCGGCGGCCUGCGUUCGAGUCGCAGCGGGGGUA
This 73-nucleotide transfer RNA is filed under the name Anaerolineae bacterium. RNAcentral's name for it is "tRNA-Arg". It matches the Rfam family "tRNA". From Rfam's summary of the family: Transfer RNA (tRNA) molecules are approximately 80 nucleotides in length. Their secondary structure includes four short double-helical elements and three loops (D, anti-codon, and T loops). The record is from RNAcentral. Lineage: Bacteria; Bacillati; Chloroflexota; Anaerolineae.